AAUGAACGCUGGCGGCGUGCUUAACACAUGCAAGUCGCACGAGAACGCUUCAGCUUGCUGGAGCUAGUAAAGUGGCGCACGGGUGAGUAACGCGUGGGUAAUCUACCUCCGAGUUGGGGAUAACACUGCGAAAGCGGUGCUAAUACCGAAUGACAUCUCAGGGACCUCGGUCUCUUAGAUCAAAGGUGGCCUCUAACUGUAAGCUACUGUUUGGAGAUGAGCCCGCGUACCAUUAGCUAGUUGGUAGGGUACUGGCCUACCAAGGCUGCGAUGGUUAGCUGGUCUGAGAGGAUGAUCAGCCACACUGGAACUGACACACGGUCCAGACUCCUACGGGAGGCAGCAGUGAGGAAUUUUGCGCAAUGGGGGAAACCCUGACGCAGCAACGCCGCGUGAGUGAUGAAGGCUUUCGGGUCGUAAAGCUCUGUCAAGUGGGAAGAAUAUGCCCCGUGAUAAUACCAUGGGGCACUGACGGUACCACUGAAGGAAGCACCGGCUAACUCCGUGCCAGCAGCCGC
This 518-nucleotide ribosomal RNA is filed under the name uncultured bacterium. RNAcentral describes it as "bacterial SSU rRNA". It matches the Rfam family "Bacterial small subunit ribosomal RNA", at positions 29 to 518 of the family's 1533-position model. The record is from RNAcentral.